This 105-nucleotide small nuclear RNA is filed under the name Portunus trituberculatus (swimming crab). Lineage: Eukaryota; Metazoa; Arthropoda; Malacostraca; Decapoda; Portunidae. The record is from RNAcentral.
GUACUUGUUUCGGUGGUACAUAUACUAAAAUUGGAACAAUAGAGAAGAUUAGCAUGGUCCCUGCGCAAAGAUGACACGCAAAAUCGUGAAAACCGUGUGUGUUUC